CAAAGCGCCGGACGGCCAUGUCGUGUGCGCUGUCGGCAGUAUUUCGCAUUUACGUCGAGUUUUAGGCGGGUGCCAGUGUUCAUGGUGUUAUCUGAGUGAUCGGUAAGCCUCUUUUCGCGGUAUAUCGUGCAACCGUAGCGGCCGGAGCUUCAGGAGCGGUGAGAUGCCGUCGGCCGGCGUCGUCAGCGUGCUGGUGCUGGCCGGCCUACUGGCUCAGCUGGCCUGCUGUCUGGAGGACCUGCUGCUGGCUCCAGAGCACGUGAAGGAGCUGACCUGCGG
Pollicipes pollicipes is the source of this 279-nucleotide long non-coding RNA. RefSeq lists it as uncharacterized. NCBI's taxonomy places the organism in Eukaryota, Metazoa, Arthropoda, Thecostraca, Pollicipedomorpha, Pollicipedidae. The transcript is spliced from 3 exons. The record is from RefSeq and is a predicted model, not a curated record.